RNAcentral lists this unclassified non-coding RNA (379 nucleotides) under soil metagenome. RNAcentral's name for it is "partial contains 5.8S ribosomal RNA, internal transcribed spacer 2, and large subunit ribosomal RNA". The stretch from base 1 to 120 matches the Rfam family "5.8S ribosomal RNA", at positions 35 to 154 of the family's 154-position model. The record is from RNAcentral.
GAUGAAGAACGUAGCGAAGUGCGAUAAGUAAUGUGAAUUGCAGAAUUCCGUGAAUCAUCGAAUCUUUGAACGCAAAUUGCACUCUCUGGUAACCCGGGGAGUAUGCCUGUUUGAGGGUCAGUGUUAAUAAAAUCGGUGCGUUGCAUUUUGUGACGUUCCGGAGUUUGAGUUAUCUUAACUUUUGGGUUUAAGAGGCUUAAAAUUGACCUUUUUUGUGCAUUUUAGACGUACAAUAAAUUAUUUUUAUUUGUCUAUCUUAAAGCCAAAAUCUAUUAGAUGCGACCAUGUCUUAUGGUUUCGUGUCUAUAAAUUUUUCAUGAUCUGACCUCAAAUCAGGUAGGAACACCCGCUGAACUUAAGCAUAUCAAUAAGCGGAGGA